GCGGGUGUAGCUCAAUUGGUAGAGCGUCAGCCUUCCAAGCUGAAUGUUGACGGUUCGAGUCCGUUCACCCGCU
RNAcentral lists this transfer RNA (73 nucleotides) under Phycisphaeraceae bacterium. Its description in RNAcentral is "tRNA-Gly". It matches the Rfam family "tRNA". From Rfam's summary of the family: Transfer RNA (tRNA) molecules are approximately 80 nucleotides in length. Their secondary structure includes four short double-helical elements and three loops (D, anti-codon, and T loops). Further hydrogen bonds mediate the characteristic L-shaped molecular structure. tRNAs have two regions of fundamental functional importance: the anti-codon, which is responsible for specific mRNA codon recognition, and the 3' end, to which the tRNAs corresponding amino acid is attached (by aminoacyl-tRNA synthetases). tRNAs cope with the degeneracy of the genetic code in two manners: having more than one tRNA (with a specific anti-codon) for a particular amino acid; and 'wobble' base-pairing, i.e. permitting non-standard base-pairing at the 3rd anti-codon position. The record is from RNAcentral. RNAcentral also lists the same sequence under 2 other names. Lineage: Bacteria; Pseudomonadati; Planctomycetota; Phycisphaerae; Phycisphaerales; Phycisphaeraceae.